This 294-nucleotide long non-coding RNA is filed under the name Ananas comosus (pineapple). RNAcentral's name for it is "long non-coding RNA (ACOM_LNC014046)". Lineage: Eukaryota; Viridiplantae; Streptophyta; Magnoliopsida; Poales; Bromeliaceae. The record is from RNAcentral.
UAUUGAACGUCCUGAUCCAGAAGUAAAAACAUAUAACUAUGCUGGAAUAUUAUUAAUAGUACUAAGUCAUUGGUGUUUAUAAAUUUUCGGUCGUUGGAUGAAAAAAUAUACGGUUAGGAUGAUAAUGAUUUUCUUGGUUUUAAUUGGCGGUUGUUGGAAUAGCAUGAUUUAAGGGACGAAAAUGGUCAAAAAAAAUAAUAUCUAACGAUGAAAAAAUUGGUACCAGCAAGUGGUGCUAUUGAUAGUAUAUAUUAUAGCGGGACUUCCUUAUAUAGAUAUAUAUGGAUAAGGUUU